GAUGAACGCUGGCGGCGUGCCUAAUACAUGCAAGUAGAACGCUGAAGCUUGGUGCUUGCACCGAGCGGAUGAGUUGCGAACGGGUGAGUAACGCGUAGGUAACCUGCCUCUUAGCGGGGGAUAACUAUUGGAAACGAUAGCUAAUACCGCAUAAAAGUCGACAUUGCAUGAUGUUGACUUGAAAGGGGCAAUUGCUCCACUACAAGAUGGACCUGCGUUGUAUUAGCUAGUAGGUGAGGUAACGGCUCACCUAGGCGACGAUACAUAGCCGACCUGAGAGGGUGAUCGGCCACACUGGGACUGAGACACGGCCCAGACUCCUACGGGAGGCAGCAGUAGGGAAUCUUCGGCAAUGGGGGCAACCCUGACCGAGCAACGCCGCGUGAGUGAAGAAGGUUUUCGGAUCGUAAAGCUCUGUUGUAAGUCAAGAACGAGUGUGAGAGUGGAAAGUUCACACUGUGACGGUAGCUUACCAGAAAGGGACGGCUAACUACGUGCCAGCAGCCGCGGUAAUACGUAGGUCCCGAGCGUUGUCCGGAUUUAUUGGGCGUAAAGCGAGCGCAGGCGGUUUGAUAAGUCUGAAGUUAAAGGCUGUGGCUCAACCAUAGUUCGCUUUGGAAACUGUCAAACUUGAGUGCAGAAGGGGAGAGUGGAAUUCCAUGUGUAGCGGUGAAAUGCGUAGAUAUAUGGAGGAACACCGGUGGCGAAAGCGGCUCUCUGGUCUGUAACUGACGCUGAGGCUCGAAAGCGUGGGGAGCGAACAGG
RNAcentral lists this ribosomal RNA (765 nucleotides) under uncultured Streptococcus sp. Its description in RNAcentral is "bacterial SSU rRNA". It matches the Rfam family "Bacterial small subunit ribosomal RNA", at positions 28 to 776 of the family's 1533-position model. Lineage: Bacteria; Bacillati; Bacillota; Bacilli; Lactobacillales; Streptococcaceae. The record is from RNAcentral.